GGUCAGGCAGAAAAAUGGAAGAUGAUUUAGCAGGAGGACCAGGGACCAGGGAUUAAGCAGUAAGGCUCAGCAAGACCCAGAAACUUCUAAAGGAACUUAAGUCUCUGAAAACAACCAGAUGCAUAAGAGCCCUCCAAGGCUAUGUAAACAAUACGGUCUGCUGAGGGGAUUCACACCAGUCUGGCAGACCUGUUGGGCUGCCCCAAAGUCCUGCAGUGAGCUCCAAGAUCCCGGCUGUCAUGACUGCCACCAUGCUGGUAACAAAUGUCAUGGCAUAUACAAAAACCUAAAGGACACUUCCAGAAAGAGCAUGGGCUCUCCUUCAGGAGCACCUUGGCACUUUGGCCAUGUUUUUCUGAUGGUACUCGCUACGCUGCCUCAGAACUGCUCACAGGAGUGCUCCACUCUUAGACUGUAAGUUUCUCAAGUCAUCUGAAGACCCCCAGCCCUAGGAGAAGCAAACACUUAGCACAUAUCACUGAAUGUUCAGUGGAUACAUAUUUGACCAUGUAAUAAUGGUAGUGUUACAUCUAAAAGGGAAGAAAUACAUGAGUAUCUUAAG
Molecule: long non-coding RNA, 562 nt
Organism: Mastomys coucha (southern multimammate mouse)
Lineage: Eukaryota; Metazoa; Chordata; Mammalia; Rodentia; Muridae
Exons: 3
Source: RefSeq, a predicted model, not a curated record